GGUUGCGUAGUGUAGCGGUUAUCACUCCAGAUUCUGAUUAUUGAACACUGUCUAAAUUAUUCUGGCAACCCCGGUUCGAUUCCGGGCGCGACCU
Non-coding RNA from Mycena polygramma, 94 nucleotides. Lineage: Eukaryota; Fungi; Basidiomycota; Agaricomycetes; Agaricales; Mycenaceae. The record is from the annotation of a GenBank genome assembly.